AUCUUGGUAAGGUGUACAUGGGUAACGGAAUAAUGACUUAGACGAAAGGCAGUGUGGGUACAAGAGAUGCACUUCACCACAGAAGACAGCCUACGGGUGGAAGAUGGCCCUGUGCCUGCUUAGCCUUAAGUGCAGCUUCACUUGGUCAUCGUAAGAGUGUCUCAGCCGAGGAGUUUCCUGGUCAGAUUGGCUUGUGGAGGAUUGACUUGAGGACUGCUUCUUCAUGCUGGAGGAUCCUGCUUACUGUGGGGAGCACCAUUUCCUGGGCAGGCGGUCUUUGGCUGUUUAAACAGCUAGAUAAAGGGGAGGAUGGCUCACUAGCCUCCUCCGAGGAUGCUUGCUGUACUCACAGGGACCUACACUCAUUUC
Molecule: long non-coding RNA, 369 nt
Filed under: Rattus norvegicus (Norway rat)
Lineage: Eukaryota; Metazoa; Chordata; Mammalia; Rodentia; Muridae
Description: long non-coding RNA NONRATT022877
Source: RNAcentral